This 72-nucleotide transfer RNA is filed under the name Desulfobulbaceae bacterium. Its description in RNAcentral is "tRNA-Ser". It matches the Rfam family "tRNA". Rfam says of the family: Transfer RNA (tRNA) molecules are approximately 80 nucleotides in length. Lineage: Bacteria; Pseudomonadati; Thermodesulfobacteriota; Desulfobulbia; Desulfobulbales; Desulfobulbaceae. The record is from RNAcentral.
ACUUCCGUAGAAAUCGGCUUGAACCGAUUUCUAAUUCGUAGGUCAGAGGUUCGAAUCCUCUCGGGCGUGCCA